CACAACUAUAUUUAAGUUCCCUAAACAUAGAAAGAAAACGGAUAGCCUUUUACAAACAUCUCGCAGUCGAAUUCAGUGCAGCGCUACACCACUGCAACCACAAUCAUCUUGUCAUUUUUUUUUCUCGAUGCAAUUUUGUACCGAAUCGCAAUUUUCGCUGCGCGGUUGAGCCUAAUGUUGUGUCUUCCGAGUGCACACUAUCUUGCGAAGAGCUGCUACGAGUGUCUGUGUGUAAUAGAAAAGCAGAAAAAGAUGUCAGUCGUAUCUGAUGCAGCUGUCAGUCGAAGGACCGAAGCUUGAAGCGAGACCUGUGUGUGUGUUUGUGCUUAGGGGUGUGUGUGUGUGUCUGUGUGUGUGUGUGUAGGCCACCCCCGAGGACAAAGAAGAUAAGGCGGGAUUUCGCUUUUAUCAGCUGGACACUAACUAGACCAGGACACCGGGUGGCCACCGGCGCUGCCGAAAAGUCGAUCAUCACGCUCAGUUUCGAGACGAGCACCAAUCAAGUGGAAACAUUUUCGUCCCACGUCUAUCGGGCGCCUCCAUCCAGAUUCAAAGAUUUGGGACAGUUCUCUCAGCCCUUUGUCCAAAAUCAUCAAAAUGAGAGAAGACACCCCAUCGAGUCCAGAAGCAGAAACGUUGGCCGACUACGCUCCGAUUCCGACAUAAAAUGCCACCUCUUCAAAGCCAAAGCCAGAGCAGAAGAAUGGUCCCACUCGCACCCACAUGGGCAUGCAUGCGACGCACCUGUGUGACAACGUGGUGAUCUGUGCCACGGACCUUCAAUGCGACGCGAGGUCAACCACAGAGGGAAGACAUUCUUGACACUAAUCUCGCCCGUGAUGCAUGCCCCUCCACCCCCACACACACAGAGGCCUCCCGCCACACCGCCAUGUUUGCGCACGCCUUCGCAACUCUCGCUCACGCGCCUUGACACAAAAGUGACUCAGACGACUUCUAUCACGUUACCGUCAGCGGCGCUGCGGCGACGAUGCGACACUGAAUUUAAAUGACAAAUGCUCCUGUUUGAUUUCAUCUCAUGUGACUCAUUCCCGUAAUCAUCGACUUCCAUGGAGCCGUCGCCAUCCGUCCAUCUGCUUCCGGGUGAACUCAUUUCAUGCACCUUGGUUCUCGCACUCGAAAGAUACGCGAGCAGAUAUACGUAAAUGUCUGUUAUAUGGGUCAACCCAAAAGCUGGCUUUCUCUUGAAGAAAGCAGCUGGUUUAAACACAAUCCCAGUCACCGACACGGCCUUCUAAAUGUCACCUUUAUUUUUCAUCCGCAUUCGCACGCACGAC
Hippocampus comes (tiger tail seahorse) is the source of this 1295-nucleotide long non-coding RNA. RefSeq lists it as uncharacterized. The transcript has 3 exons. NCBI's taxonomy places the organism in Eukaryota, Metazoa, Chordata, Actinopteri, Syngnathiformes, Syngnathidae. The record is from RefSeq and is a predicted model, not a curated record.